Molecule: transfer RNA, 72 nt
Filed under: Fukomys damarensis (Damara mole-rat)
Lineage: Eukaryota; Metazoa; Chordata; Mammalia; Rodentia; Bathyergidae
Rfam family: tRNA
About the family: Transfer RNA (tRNA) molecules are approximately 80 nucleotides in length. Their secondary structure includes four short double-helical elements and three loops (D, anti-codon, and T loops). Further hydrogen bonds mediate the characteristic L-shaped molecular structure. tRNAs have two regions of fundamental functional importance: the anti-codon, which is responsible for specific mRNA codon recognition, and the 3' end, to which the tRNAs corresponding amino acid is attached (by aminoacyl-tRNA synthetases). tRNAs cope with the degeneracy of the genetic code in two manners: having more than one tRNA (with a specific anti-codon) for a particular amino acid; and 'wobble' base-pairing, i.e. permitting non-standard base-pairing at the 3rd anti-codon position.
Source: Rfam by way of RNAcentral
AGGGAUGCAGCUCAGUGGUACAGCACUCGUCUAGUAUGUGUGAGGUCCUAGGUUCAAUCCCCAGCAUUGUUU